RNAcentral lists this ribosomal RNA (301 nucleotides) under uncultured bacterium. RNAcentral's name for it is "partial 16S ribosomal RNA". It matches the Rfam family "Bacterial small subunit ribosomal RNA", at positions 509 to 807 of the family's 1533-position model. The record is from RNAcentral.
CAGUCGCCGCGGUAACACGGAGGGCGCGAGCGUUACCCGGAUUUACUGGGCGUAAAGGGCGUGUAGGCGGUCUGGGGCGUCCCAUGUGAAAGGCCACGGCUCAACCGUGGAGGAGCGUGGGAUACGCUCAGGCUAGAGGGUGGGAGAGGGUAGUGGAAUUCCCGGAGUAGCGGUGAAAUGCGCAGAUACCGGGAGGAACGCCGAUGGCGAAGGCAGCCACCUGGUCCACUUCUGACGCUGAGGCGCGAAAGCGUGGGGAGCAAACCGGAUUAGAUACCCCAGUAGUCCCUGUCUCUUAUAC